CCUACGGGUGGCAGCAGUGAGGAAUAUUGGUCAAUGGGAGAGAUCCUGAACCAGCCAAGCCGCGUGAGGGAAGACGGCCCUAUGGGUUGUAAACCUCUUUUGUCGGAGAACAAAACCCGGGACGUGUCCCGGACUGCGUGUAUCCGCAGAAAAAGCAUCGGCUAACUCCGUGCCAGCAGCCGCGGUAAUACGGAGGAUGCGAGCGUUAUCGGGAUUUAUUGGGUUUAAAGGGUGCGUAGGCGGUCCGUUAAGUCAGCGGGAAAAUUGCGGGGCUCAACCCCGUCGAGCCGUUGAAACUGGCAGACUUGAGUUGGCGAGAAGUACGCGGAAUGCGCGGUGUAGCGGUGAAAUGCAUAGAUAUCGCGCAGAACUCCGAUUGCGAAGGCAGCGUACCGGCGCCAGACUGACGCUGAGGCACGAAAGCGUGGGGAUCGAACAGGAUUAGAUACCCCUGUAGUC
This 459-nucleotide ribosomal RNA is filed under the name uncultured bacterium. RNAcentral's name for it is "partial 16S ribosomal RNA". It matches the Rfam family "Bacterial small subunit ribosomal RNA", at positions 338 to 795 of the family's 1533-position model. The record is from RNAcentral.